Molecule: ribosomal RNA, 439 nt
Filed under: uncultured bacterium
Lineage: Bacteria
Description: partial 16S ribosomal RNA
Rfam family: Bacterial small subunit ribosomal RNA
Source: RNAcentral
CUACGGGGUGCUGCAGUGAGGAAUAUUGCACAAUGGGGGAAACCCUGAUGCAGCAACGCCGCGUGGAGGAUGACGCAUUUCGGUGUGUAAACUCCUUUUAUCAGAGAAGAAAAUGACGGUAUCUGAUGAAUAAGCUCCGGCUAACUCCGUGCCAGCAGCCGCGGUAACACGGAGGGAGCAAGCGUUAUUCGGAAUCACUGGGCGUAAAGGACGCGUAGGCGGGUUUUUAAGUCAGGUGUGAAAUCCUAUGGCUCAACCAUAGAACUGCACUUGAAACUGGGGACCUAGAGUAUGGAAGGGGCAGGUGGAAUUAGUGGUGUAGGAGUAAAAUCCGUAGAUAUCACUAGGAAUACCGAAAGCGAAGGCGACCUGCUGGGACAUUACUGACGCUGAGGCGUGAAAGCGUGGGGAGCAAACAGGAUUAGAUACCCGCGUAGUC